This 253-nucleotide ribosomal RNA is filed under the name uncultured bacterium. Its description in RNAcentral is "partial 16S ribosomal RNA". It matches the Rfam family "Bacterial small subunit ribosomal RNA", at positions 524 to 776 of the family's 1533-position model. The record is from RNAcentral.
UACAGAGGGGGCAAGCGUUGUUCGGAAUUAUUGGGCGUAAAGGGCGCGUAGGUGGCUAGGCAAGUCCCGGGUGAAAUCCCUCGGCUCAACCGAGGAACUGCCUUGGAAACUGCCUGGCUCGAGGCCGGGAGAGGGUAGCGGAAUUCCCAGUGUAGCGGUGAAAUGCGUAGAUACUGGGAGGAACACCAGUGGCGAAGGCGGCUACCUGGACCGGUUCUGACACUGAUGCGCGAAAGCGUGGGGAGCAAACAGG